GUACUUCAGCGUGUAUAACCUGCAGUACUUCAGCGUGUGUAACCUGCAGUACUUCAGCGUGUAUAACCUGCAGUACUUCAGCGUGUGUUGUAGUAAAGCUGACCUGUUUUCUGCAGUAACAUCUCUGCAGACGACAUGUUGUACAUGGAGACGGACCUGGAGGAGAGCAUGGAGAAGAUGGAGACCAUCAACUUCCACAGUGCGGACGGUAACAAGUGGUGAACACAGCGGUCAAAAACACCAUCCCGAAGGCCGCAGAGAAGAAACUGCACGAUCUGGAGCCAGGGGACUGGAUUGUGGGAAAGGACUUCAGGAGAAAGAGCUCGCAGGUGGACCGGGCCAUUUCAGAUACUGCUAACAACAGAAACAGCAGUAAAAGUGUCUGAAAGAGCAACUUGGAUUCACGCCACCCACUGCAAACGAGUGCCAAAGCAACCAAAAGGCCUCAAACCAGGCGAAGAUGGAGAUCAGUGAUUGAGCUGAGCUUUCCCCUGCCUUGUGUUCCUAGGGAGGGAGGGGAGUGGAGGUCUCUGAGACCACCUAGAACCACUAAUCUCCCAAACACUCACCGCGGGCACACUGAAACCAACAGAUGGCUCUGGAGAGGUGACGGACCGAGACAAAACGGAGGCGUUGUUCUGCUCACUGUCAUCAUUUCCAAACAUGAAAACAACAAACUUGGCCUGACUGAGGGAAAGUUCCAGGCCGAAGAGGAGGAGAUGCACGUCCUCCCUGACAGCCCGGCUGGGCUGAAAGACAAUGCAUGGUAUGCAACCACGAUGACCACUUCAAGAAAAGUAACCAAUCAGAGCUGUUAUGCGUGUGCACAGCUCCCUCAUGGAGUGGGGAACUCCAUACCAGUGAAACCCAGACCAAUAAAUGUUUCAGAGACACUAGGAGCCCUGUUAACCUUCACUCAAGGGUUUCCCAGGGUGGGCCGAGAAGUUAAGGAUAUGACCAAGACACUUAACUGUGUAACAUCAGCAUGGUCAACUUUAGGGUUAGGUUCAGGAACACGUCUCAGAUAACCACCAGAUGUACCUUGGACAUGGGUGUCUUUCUAUAGAUCCAGAUUGAGUGUCCCCUAGGGAACACUGAAAGACACCAUGUUCCUUUGAUGAGAUAGGACUCCGACCCUGAGACUAAGAUAAAAGCUGCAUGACCUGUUACACUGCAGCUCACUCGGAUGAUACUCUCGGAUGUGUAUGUGUCCCCUUGAAUUCCUUCUGCAGAAGACUUGAAUAAAAUUCACAGAAAGACAAGUGUUUGCUUUUUCCCACCACACCGUCUACAUUAAAUCGACUGAAAAUGCACAUCUAGUGGCCGUUCAUGUACACUGGGCAUGCACGUGCCAGUGUAAACUUGAAGCAGAUGGCGAUUUGGCGAAAGAAUAAAGUACUACAGAC
Long non-coding RNA from Micropterus salmoides (largemouth bass), 1406 nucleotides. RefSeq lists it as uncharacterized. The record is from RefSeq and is a predicted model, not a curated record. NCBI's taxonomy places the organism in Eukaryota, Metazoa, Chordata, Actinopteri, Centrarchiformes, Centrarchidae. The transcript has 2 exons.